Molecule: ribosomal RNA, 279 nt
Filed under: uncultured bacterium
Lineage: Bacteria
Description: partial 16S ribosomal RNA
Rfam family: Bacterial small subunit ribosomal RNA
Source: RNAcentral
UGCCAGCCGCCGCGGUAAUACGGAGGGAGCGAGCGUUAAUCGGAAUUACUGGGCGUAAAGCGCGCGUAGGCGGCUUUGUAAGUCGGAUGUGAAAGCCCUGGGCUCAACCUGGGAAUGGCAUUCGAUACUGCAUGGCUAGAGUAUGGUAGAGGGAAGUGGAAUUUCCGGUGUAGCGGUGAAAUGCGUAGAUAUCGGAAGGAACACCGGUGGCGAAGGCGGCCUCCUGGACCAAUACUGACGCUGAGGUGCGAAAGCGUGGGUAGCGAACGGGAUUAGAUA